This 202-nucleotide unclassified non-coding RNA is filed under the name Hevea brasiliensis (rubber tree). Lineage: Eukaryota; Viridiplantae; Streptophyta; Magnoliopsida; Malpighiales; Euphorbiaceae. The record is from RNAcentral.
GUUUUGUUCCAAGUGCCAAAGAAAGAUCAUUAAAUAAAAUAAAAAAAGAAAAAAGAGUGCACUACCUAAAUAAACCAAUUAUGCAGAUGACAUUAUUGGGUCAUGCUGGGAUAAGUUUAAACAUUGCAAUAAUUCCACAUAAUUUGAUAACUUGAUUGAGCGUGCAAAAAAUUACUUACAGGUUUCUUCUUUGCCAAAACUG